UGGGCUGGGCCUUCUUUAAUACAUCUACAACAUAAAAAAUACUCUAUAAUAAUAAUUUAUUUAACCACACUUUUUUAGUCCCACAUCGAUAGAAUUCAAAAAACACAAAGAAGGUUGGUCUGUAAAUAAAGAUUCAUUUUGUCUAAAACAAAUAUGAAGUCUAAAGAGUGGGAGGAGCUUAUAUUAAAAAUAAUAUAGCUCUUUUCAUGGACCAAUGUAUAAAUUUUUAUGGCUAAAAAUUUAUAAGGUCUUAAAAUAAAAAUUUUUUUGGCCUUUUUUUAAAAUAAAAACAAAAUAAAUAACUUAAAACAGGCCUGGAUCCGGGUCGGAUUUUACCCGGAUCCGAUCCGGAUCCGGCUAAGGGAGAUGCGCUUGGCCCAUAUGCGCGCGCACCCGGAACCUUGAUUAUAACACCCUAUAAUUCAUUGUAACACCAAGGUUUAAAAACCGGUUAACCAUUUAGGGGUAUUUUCGUAAUAAUAUAGUUUUAUAAAUGGCUAGGGUUUCUUUAAACUUAUAAAAGAGAGGCUUUAUAAAAAGAAAAUAAUAAAUAACCCAAGAGGCUUUUAAAAAAUAAUAACGUAAUGGGCUGGGCUAGGCCUUCUUUAAUACAUCUACAACAUAAAAAAUACUCUAUAAUAAUAAUUUAUUUAACUAUACUUUUUUAGUCCCACAUCGAUAGAAUUCAAAAAACACAAAGAAGGUUGGUCUAUAAAUAAAUAUUCAUUUUGUCUAAAACAAAUAUGAAGUCUAAAGAGUGGGAGGAGCUUAUAUUAAAAAUAAUAUAGCUCUUUUCAUGGACCAAUGUAUAAAUUUUUAUGCUAAAAAUUUAUAAGGUCUUAAAAUAAAUUUUUUUUGCCUUUUUUU
This 867-nucleotide long non-coding RNA is filed under the name Zostera marina. Its description in RNAcentral is "long non-coding RNA (ZMAR_LNC004237)". The record is from RNAcentral. Lineage: Eukaryota; Viridiplantae; Streptophyta; Magnoliopsida; Alismatales; Zosteraceae.